GUAGGGGGCAAGCGUUGUCCGGAUUUACUGGGCGUAAAGAGCGUGUAGGCGGCCAAGCAGGUCCGUUGUGAAAACUGGAGGCUUAACCUCCAGACGUCGACGGAAACCGCGUGGCUAGAGUCCGGAAGAGGAGAGUGGAAUUCCUGGUGUAGCGGUGAAAUGCGCAGAUAUCAGGAAGAACACCAAUGGCGAAGGCAGCUCUCUGGGACGGUACUGACGCUGAGACGCGAAAGCGUGGGGAGCGAACAGGAUUAGAUACCCUGGUAGUCCACGCCGUAAACAAUGUUCACUAGGUGUUGGUGGUAUUGACGCCAUCAGUGCCGCAGCUAACGCAUUAAGUGAACCGCCUGGGGAGUACGGCCGCAAGGUUG
Molecule: ribosomal RNA, 371 nt
Filed under: uncultured bacterium
Lineage: Bacteria
Description: bacterial SSU rRNA
Rfam family: Bacterial small subunit ribosomal RNA
Source: RNAcentral